AUGAACUAAAUAUAAAUUAAUGUUAAACUUGGAAAUGGUGGUGUAUAUGAGAGCAUGUCCAUUGCACGGACUUUGCAAGUUUCUUAAGAGAAUUCCAAUGAAAAGAAGCAAAAAGUUAAAUAAGAAUUGUGUAAUUAACGAAGGUGCGAACCUUGUUUAAGGUGUUUUUGAGUGUGUAAGGUGCGCUGACGUGGCAUUAUUUCAUUGGAUGACAUAUUAAACAAAACAUGUUUUUUUUUUCUUUUCUCGUGU
This 252-nucleotide small RNA is filed under the name Arabidopsis thaliana (thale cress). Its description in RNAcentral is "ATSL287590". Lineage: Eukaryota; Viridiplantae; Streptophyta; Magnoliopsida; Brassicales; Brassicaceae. The record is from RNAcentral.